RNAcentral lists this ribosomal RNA (1270 nucleotides) under Takecallis arundinariae. Its description in RNAcentral is "16S large subunit ribosomal RNA". Lineage: Eukaryota; Metazoa; Arthropoda; Insecta; Hemiptera; Aphididae. The record is from RNAcentral.
AAUUUAUUUUAUUAAUAAUUUUUUAGUAAUUUUUAUUUAAAAUUUUAUAAAAAUAAUUUAUAUUUUUUUUGUUUUAGUAUUUAUUAAGAAAGAAUUUUUAGAUUUAUAGUUUAAUUAGUAUUGUAAAAGAAUUAAUUUUAAAUUAUUUAAAGAAUAUUUUUUAGUACCUUUUGUAUCAGGGUUGAUUAAAAUUUUAAAUUUAUAUUUUAUUUCUCAAAAUUUAUAGAGUUAAUUUUAUUAUUAAUUUACUGUUUUAUAAGUAUUUAUAAAAUAAUAUUAGUUUUGAAAUUUAAUUCGUUAUAAUAUAUUUAGUUAUUUAAGAUUUAAAUUUAAUUUAAAAUUUUAAAAGUUUAUAUUAAUUUUAUUAAUUGAAAUUUUAAAUUUAAAUUAUUUUAGGGAUAAGCUUGAAAUUUUUAUAUAAUAAAUUUUUUUUUUAAUAAUUUUUAGGAAUAGAAAUUUUUAUUUAAGUUUGUAAAAAUUUAUUAUUUUAUUUAAUUUAAUUUAUUAAAUUGGUUUAUUAUAAAUAUUAAAUUUUAUUAUUAAAUGAUUUAUUUAUAGUAAUAAUGAUUAAAUUAGUAUAAUUAUGAAAUUUAUAAAUUAUGAAUUCGGCAAAAAUUAUUUUCAUCUGUUUAUCAAAAACAUUGUAUUAAGUUUAAUUUAAUAUAUAAUCUGCUCAAUGAAAUUUUAAAUAGCUGCAGUAUUUUGACUGUGCAAAGGUAGCAUAAUAAUUAGUCUUUUAAUUGAGGACUAGAAUGAAAGAUUGGAUGAGAAAUAAACUUUAUUAUUUAUAUAAUUAAAUUUUAUUUUUAAGUAAAAAAGCUUAAAUUAUUAAAAGGGACGAUAAGACCCUAUAAAACUUUAUAAAUAAUUAUAUUUAAUUUUCUUUGUUAUAUAAGUAUUUAAAUUUAUUUAUUUAUUUUAUUGGGGUGAUAAAAAAAAAUUGAACUUUUUUUAAAAUUUUACGUUAAUUAAUGAAUCUUUGAAUUAAAAUUUUUAUUUAAAGGAAAAAGUUACUUUAGGGAUAACAGCGUAAUUAAUUUUUUAAGUCCAAAUUUAAAAAUUAGUUUGCGACCUCGAUGUUGAAUUAAGAUUAAGCUUAGGUGCAAAAUUUUAAGUUUUAGGUCUGUUCGACCUUUAAAAUCUUACAUGAUUUGAGUUCAAACCGGUGUGAGCCAGGUUGGUUUCUAUCUUUUUAUAAAUAAAUUAUUUUAGUACGAAAGGAUUAAAUAAUUGAAUUAAAUUUUUAAUUUAAAUGAAUAAAAUUAAUUUU